RNAcentral lists this long non-coding RNA (446 nucleotides) under Lingula anatina. Its description in RNAcentral is "uncharacterized LOC106159852". Lineage: Eukaryota; Metazoa; Brachiopoda; Lingulata; Lingulida; Lingulidae. The record is from RNAcentral.
CAGGGCAUUACAAACCUCCAGACACAACUACAAGCUGUGAAGACACUGGUGGAACAACUUGUAAGAAGACAACAUAUUCCAGUUUUCCAUGUUCAUUCAUCUGAGGGCCAUUACAAACUUUCCUUCGACCAAGCCAAACAGAUGUGCAUUGAACAUGGUGCCAAAAUCGCAACACCAAACCAAAUAUGUGCUGCAUGGGAAGAUGGGCUAGAUGUCUGCGCAUGGGGCUGGGUGUCUGAUCAGAAAGUGUACCUUCCCAUCCGUUACCCUAGACCUGGCUGUGGGAGUCGCAGAGAACUGUUAUCUUCACAGAAAAAUGCUGACUUCAAGUCAGAUGUUUAUUGUUUCAAGUAGAUACUUGAAUAUGAAUGUACUACAUAAUAUUAUGUAAAACUAUUCUUUUUAAGCAGCCAAAAUAUUGCUAAAUAAAUAGUAGAUUUUUUGGU